RNAcentral lists this ribosomal RNA (324 nucleotides) under uncultured eukaryote. RNAcentral describes it as "partial 18S ribosomal RNA". It matches the Rfam family "Eukaryotic small subunit ribosomal RNA", at positions 1470 to 1796 of the family's 1831-position model. The record is from RNAcentral.
CCCUUAGAUGUUCUGGACUGCACGCGCGCUACACUGAAGCGUUCAACGAGUAUUCACCUUGCCCGGGAGGGUUGGGUAAUCUUUUGAAAACGCUUCGUGAUGGGGAUAGAUUAUUGCAAUUAUUAAUCUUCAACGAGGAAUUCCUAGUAAGCGCGAGUCAUCAGCUCGUGCUGAUUACGUCCCUGCCCUUUGUACACACCGCCCGUCGCACCUACCGAUUGAAUGGUCCGGUGAAAUCUCCGGACUGGCGUGAGUCGGAGCAAUCUGACAAACACCGGAAAGUUGAUUAAACCUUACCAUUUAGAGGAAGGUGAAGUCGUAACA